This 497-nucleotide ribosomal RNA is filed under the name uncultured bacterium. RNAcentral's name for it is "partial 16S ribosomal RNA". It matches the Rfam family "Bacterial small subunit ribosomal RNA", at positions 28 to 507 of the family's 1533-position model. The record is from RNAcentral.
GAUGAACGCUGGCGGCGUGCCUAAUACAUGCAAGUCGAGCGAACAGACGAGGAGCUUGCUCCUCUGACGUUAGCGGCGGACGGGUGUGUAACACGUGGAUAACCUACCUAUAAGACUGGGAUAACUUCGGGAAACCGGAGCUAAUACCGGAUAAUAUAUUGAACCGCAUGGUUCAAUAGUGAAAGACGGUUUUGCUGUCACUUAUAGAUGGAUCCGCGCCGCAUUAGCUAGUUGGUAAGUUAACGGCUUAUCAAGGCAACGAUGCGUAGGCGACCGGAGAGGGUGAUCGGCCACACGGGAACUGAGACACGGACCAGACGCCUACGGGAGGCAGCAGUAGGGAAUCGUCCGCAAAGGGCGAAAGCAUGACGGAGCAACGCCGCGUGAGUGAUGAAGGUCUUCGGAUCGUAAAACUCUGUUAUGAGGGAAGAACAAAUGUGUAAGUAACUAUGCACGUCUUGACGGUACCUAAUCAGAAAGCCACGGCUAACUACGUG